RNAcentral lists this ribosomal RNA (360 nucleotides) under Porcellionides pruinosus. RNAcentral describes it as "partial large subunit ribosomal RNA". It matches the Rfam family "Eukaryotic large subunit ribosomal RNA", at positions 649 to 893 of the family's 3401-position model. Lineage: Eukaryota; Metazoa; Arthropoda; Malacostraca; Isopoda; Porcellionidae. The record is from RNAcentral.
CCGUCUGAAACACGGCCAAGAAGUCUUGAAUGCGCGCGAGUCAAAGGGCUGGCUAAACCCCAAGGCGAAACGAAAGUAAUGAAGUUGCUUAAAAAUUUUUUUUUUUUUCGCAGCUAAAUAGGGCUGAUCCGGUUCGGGGAUGAGGGUUUCUUACUCUCGCCCCGAUUCGUCACUAUUAAUUUAAAUAUGUGGACGGCGCAAGCCCGGGGCCCGCAGGCUGCUCCUCCCCGUCGUUAAUGGCGCGGGACGAGUCGCGGGUACCUUGAGCGUGCAUUGAAGUACCCGAAAGAUGGUGAUCUAUGCGUGGCGAGGAUGAAGCCAGGGGAAACUCUGGUGGAGGUCCGCAGCGGUUCUGACGUG